Molecule: ribosomal RNA, 999 nt
Filed under: uncultured bacterium
Lineage: Bacteria
Description: bacterial SSU rRNA
Rfam family: Bacterial small subunit ribosomal RNA
Source: RNAcentral
GGGGAAUAUUGCACAAUGGGGGAAACCCUGAUGCAGCGACGCCGCGUGAGUGAUGAAGUAUUUCGGUAUGUAAAACUCUAUCAGCAGGGAAGAUAAUGACGGUACCUGACUAAGAAGCACCGGCUAAAUACGUGCCAGCAGCCGCGGUAAUACGUAUGGUGCAAGCGUUAUCCGGAUUUACUGGGUGUAAAGGGCGUGUAGGCGGAGAUGCAAGUUGGGAGUGAAAACCAUGGGCUCAACCCAUGAACUGCUCUCAAAACUGUAUCCCUUGAGUAUCGGAGAGGCAAGCGGAAUUCCUAGUGUAGCGGUGAAAUGCGUAGAUAUUAGGAGGAACACCAGUGGCGAAGGCGGCUUGCUGGACGACAACUGACGCUGAGGCGCGAAAGCGUGGGGAGCAAACAGGAUUAGAUACCCUGGUAGUCCACGCUGUAAACGAUGAAUACUAGGUGUGGGAGGACUGACCCCUUCCGUGCCGCAGUUAACACAAUAAGUAUUCCACCUGGGGAGUACGACCGCAAGGUUGAAACUCAAAGGAAUUGACGGGGGCCCGCACAAGCAGUGGAUUAUGUGGUUUAAUUCGACGCAACGCGAAGAACCUUACCAGGAUUUGACAUCCAACUAACGAAGUAGAGAUACAUCAGGUACCCUUCGGGGGAAGUUGAGACAGGUGGUGCAUGGUUGUCGUCAGCUCGUGUCGUGAGAUGUUGGGUUAAGUCCCGCAACGAGCGCAACCCCUAUUGUUAGUUGCUACGAAAGAGCACUCUAGCGAGACUGCCGUUGACAAAACGGAGGAAGGCGGGGACGACGUCAAAUCAUCAUGCCCCUUAUGUCCUGGGCUACACACGUAAUACAAUGGCGGUCAACAGAGGGAAGCAAAGCCGCGAGGUGGAGCAAAUCCCUAAAAGCCGUCUCAGUUCGGAUUGCAGGCUGCAACUCGCCUGCAUGAAGCUGGAAUUGCUAGUAAUCGCGGAUCAGCAUGCCGCGGUGAAUACGUUCCCG